GGGGCCUUAGCUCAGGUGGGCGAGCGCCUGCUUUGCACGCAGGAGGUCAGCGGUUAGAUCCCGCUAGGCUCCAUCA
Molecule: transfer RNA, 76 nt
Filed under: Streptococcus pyogenes MGAS2111
Lineage: Bacteria; Bacillati; Bacillota; Bacilli; Lactobacillales; Streptococcaceae
Description: tRNA-Ala
Rfam family: tRNA
About the family: Transfer RNA (tRNA) molecules are approximately 80 nucleotides in length. Their secondary structure includes four short double-helical elements and three loops (D, anti-codon, and T loops).
Source: RNAcentral